Molecule: long non-coding RNA, 1115 nt
Organism: Melanaphis sacchari
Lineage: Eukaryota; Metazoa; Arthropoda; Insecta; Hemiptera; Aphididae
Exons: 3
Source: RefSeq, a predicted model, not a curated record
GCGGCGGCGGCGGCGGCGGCAGUGACGAGUGGCGACGACCGCUGCGGCCGGUGUGGAAGUGGCCUGGGCUCGGGCCGCACGGUGGAGGACGCGCGGCGGCAAGUCUUUCGGCCGAUCCCCCGGCGAUCGCCACCGACCGCGUUACGCGCACACCGCCGUCGUCCCGCCGCCAAAUCAGCCGCGGCAGAGAACUGCUCUCUCAGUGUCUGUCCGUCGGUCAUACGCAAUAUACGACGCACGCGCCGCGGUCGUCGGCUGUUCUCAAACGACACCAUCGACAAUAAUAAUAAAUAACGACUAAUCGUCGUCUCUCGUAGUAACAGUACCGCAACCGUCGUUUCACUCGUCCUGUUCGAAAUAUAUUAUCACAUUAUAAUAAUAUCGUACGCGCGCGCGCGUGUGACUGUAUACGACAAUACCUACGCAUAAUAUUAUAAAAUAAUAUAAAAACGACGACGCCGUUCGUUCGUUCGUUCGACGGGAGAACCGAAAAUUUAGCGACGCUCGUUCGGGGUGUGUCUACUACACUUUUUUUUCAUUUUUUUUUUUGUAUCGUCGCGGCACAUUUACGCACGCGACGCGCACAGACGACGACUGUUUUUUUAUUUUUUUAUUAUAGUUCUGUUCCGGCGCGUCGAUCAGCCGACGACGACGGAAACCGCGGCGUUUCGAUUGUAGGCGUAUACCACGCCACCGCGCCGAGUCGUUCGCAGGCGUUACGCGCGCUCGUCGCAAUCUCCGCGAGUAAUGCGCACUGCGACAGACCCGGAGCCAAAGACGUAGUGAUAACGACCUGACCGACGGCAUCAUCGUAACCCCGUUGGCGCGACGUGCCUUCAUUUAUGCGCCUAGGUUACGCCCGCGGAGAACGCAACCCCGCACGACCAACCCGUUGACCGCCGAGGUCCAUGCGACCCUCUUGCACUCGCCGCCCCGAACGUCCUCGACUGUCCGCAGUACGACAAGGAUCUGAAGGAUCUCACUGAAAUGAGACGGCUCAAAAUUAUAUUUAUUUGUAAGCUGACAAUAUGUUUACUGACAUGGUCCGUAUUUGUAGCGGAGUUAGAUGCGCUACGAGGUUCUGCUGUUGUACUUCAAGCGAGAGCGAAAGCGGA